CCUACGGGUGGCAGCAGUCGAGAAUCAUUCACAAUGGGGGAAACCCUGAUGGUGCGACGCCGCGUGGGGGAAUGAAGGUCUUCGGAUUGUAAACCCCUGUCAUGUGGGAGCAAAUUAAAAAGAUAGUACCACAAGAGGAAGAGACGGCUAACUCUGUGCCAGCAGCCGCGGUAAUACAGAGGUCGCAAGCGUUGUUCGGAAUCACUGGGCGUAAAGCGUGCGUAGGCUGUUUCGUAAGUCGUGUGUGAAAGGCGCGGGCUCAACCCGCGGACGGCACAUGAUACUGCGAGACUAGAGUAAGGGAGGGGGAACCGGAAUUCUCGGUGAAGCAGUGAAAUGCGUAGAUAUCGAGAGGAACACUCGUGGCGAAGGCGGGUUCCUGGACAUUAACUGACGCUGAGGCACGAAGGCCAGGGGAGCGAAAGGGAUUAGAUACCCGAGUAGUC
Molecule: ribosomal RNA, 446 nt
Filed under: uncultured bacterium
Lineage: Bacteria
Description: partial 16S ribosomal RNA
Rfam family: Bacterial small subunit ribosomal RNA
Source: RNAcentral